GAAAUGUGAUAAGUAAUGUGAAUUGCAGAAUUCAGUGAAUCAUCGAAUCUUUGAACGCACAUUGCGCCCGCCAGUAUUCUGGCGGGCAUGCCUGUCCGAGCGUCAUUUCAACCAUCAAGCCCCCGGGCUUGUGUUGGGGACCUGCGGCUGCCCGCAGGCCCUGAAAACCAGUGGCGGGCUCGCUGUCACACCGAGCGUAGUAGCAAUCACCUCGCUCAGGGCGUGCUGCGGGUUCCGGCCGUUAAACAGCCUUACAAAACCCAAGGUUGACCUCGGAUCAGGUAGGAAGACCCGCUGAACUUAAGC
RNAcentral lists this unclassified non-coding RNA (306 nucleotides) under plant metagenome. Its description in RNAcentral is "partial contains 5.8S ribosomal RNA, internal transcribed spacer 2, and large subunit ribosomal RNA". The stretch from base 1 to 105 matches the Rfam family "5.8S ribosomal RNA", at positions 50 to 154 of the family's 154-position model. The record is from RNAcentral.